GACGAACGCUGGCGGCGCGCCUAACACAUGCAAGUCGAACGGAGCUUAGAGAGCUUGCUUUUUAAGCUUAGUGGCGAACGGGUGAGUAACGCGUGAGUAACCUGCCCUAGAGUGGGGGACAACAGUUGGAAACGACUGCUAAUACCGCAUAAGCCCACGGUACCGCAUGGUACUGAGGGAAAAGGAUUUAUUCGCUUUAGGAUGGACUCGCGUCCAAUUAGUUAGUUGGUGGGGUAACGGCCCACCAAGGCGACGAUUGGUAGCCGGCCUGAGAGGGCGACCGGCCACAUUGGGACUGAGACACGGCCCAGACUCCUACGGGAGGCAGCAGUGGGGGAUAUUGCACAAUGGGGGAAACCCUGAUGCAGCGACGCCGCGUGGAGGAAGAAGUUUUUCGGUUUGUAAA
Molecule: ribosomal RNA, 406 nt
Filed under: uncultured bacterium
Lineage: Bacteria
Description: bacterial SSU rRNA
Rfam family: Bacterial small subunit ribosomal RNA
Source: RNAcentral